GGCACCCUCCUCCCUGGCAGAACACGUGCCUUGAACAAAAGGCACUUCAACAAAAACACCCUCAAAACAUGCUCACUAUCAAGCAACUAUUCCCAGCCCAAAAGUCAAAACACAGCACUGCACCAACUACAAGAAGGAGAAACAUGACUGCCACGGCUGAACCCAUGACAUGCCUGCAUUCAGAGAUGGUGCUGGGACCUUCAGUACAGAGGAGCAUAUGGAUCGAACCUGUGCUGGAAAGAAGUCUGCUGCCAUGCUGCAUCCAAGGAUCAGCGUCAGAACUAUGCUCCACAACCGAAUUGCCUGCAUUCAGAGAAAGUGCUGGGAACCUUCAGUACAGAGGUAUGCUUUGAAAUAAAGACACUCCCCUUGAUGCCAGAACUAAAUUUUACUAGUAAAUUACAUUGCAAAUCAGCCUGUGCUGCGAAAUUAAAUACUGACCUGCUCCGCACAGGUGCAAGCGUUUAAAAAGUGC
RNAcentral lists this long non-coding RNA (475 nucleotides) under Melopsittacus undulatus (budgerigar). RNAcentral describes it as "lncRNA (ENSMUNG00000000778.2)". The record is from RNAcentral. Lineage: Eukaryota; Metazoa; Chordata; Aves; Psittaciformes; Psittaculidae.